CGCAAUGGGCGAAAGCCUGACGGAGCAACGCCGCGUGAGGGACGAAGGCCUCUGGGCUGUAAACCUCUUUUCUCAAGGAAGAAGAUAUGACGGUACUUGAGGGAUAAGCCACGGCUAAUUCCGUGCCAGCAGCCGCGGUAAUACGGGAGUGGCAAGCGUUAUCCGGAAUUAUUGGGCGUAAAGCGUCCGCAGGCGGCUUUUCAAGUCUGCUGUUAAAGCGUGGAGCUUAACUCCAUCAUGGCAGUGGAAACUGAAAGGCUUGAGUAUGGUAGGGGCAGAGGGAAUUCCCGGUGUAGCGGUGAAAUGCGUAGAUAUCGGGAAGAACACCAGUGGCGAAGGCGCUCUGCUGGGCCAUUACUGACGCUCAUGGACGAAAGCCAGGGGAGCGAAAGGGAUUAGAUACCCCUGUAGUCCUGGCCGU
RNAcentral lists this ribosomal RNA (421 nucleotides) under uncultured bacterium. RNAcentral's name for it is "bacterial SSU rRNA". It matches the Rfam family "Bacterial small subunit ribosomal RNA", at positions 367 to 803 of the family's 1533-position model. The record is from RNAcentral.